CCGAAACAUACGUUUUUCAUUUAACUGAAGUGGAUCCAUAUAUGAACUCAUUUUCGCGCGAAACAAGGUUAGAACACGACGCACCGUACUGAACGACAACAACGAAGUUCUCUGGCUGCUACGAUUGGUGCACAAGGUAGCCACCUUAACGACAUCUCACGCGUGUGGCGACACUGUCGCGUAAAUUUAGUACGCAACACUCAGUUGUUUGUUAGUCAAGUUUAAAUAAGAAAGUGAGGGCUAAUCACGAGGUUAUACGUGCGUGGUUUUGAGAAAUUGUGCCACAAUUUCACUGCUCACACAGCGAAUUGAGCCGGUGUCAACCGUGAGUGUUCCCCCAACUAGUGUAAAUCUCGAGUCACUGGUUGAGCGGUGGAAGAUGCUAUGAUACGGGGGCAGGUGUCGCGGUAAACUCAGUUAAUUAGACAAGAGGCAACCAUCGCCACCCCUCGACACCCCCGAGGCUUGUUAAUAACGCGUAAUUACCAUUAUACACGGCGAUACACUCUUCCAAGCCCACGUUGGCGACCCCAUUAGAUAAGACGACACCUUAUUAUACGCGAACUAACGCCACUGUAUCGUGCAACCACAAAACUUCGAAGUGUAGUGCCUCGACGUGGGAUCCGAGAUGGAGGAUCCUCAUUUUCUUCUUCGCACUGAACGGGAAUGAUAAGCUGAUGGAGGAGAUCAAGAUCCAUUGUUAGACUCGAGUGAGAUGAGAGGUAGGCUUGGCCACAUUGGUACCGCCUACUAUAUAGAAUAAUCUCGACAAGAAAGGACUUGACCAAUCUCGUCCUGCCCCACCAGGUAGCGAUCUUAUACUCUUGGACACGUGGACUCUAAAGUGAGCCGUCGCGGCUAGUUCUUUUCUAUACGAGAGGUACACGCUUUAAUCGUUUCAUCUGUUUUACGCUCUUCCACACUUUUAACUUGACUGUGUUCUCAAGAUUCUCGAGACAAUAA
Molecule: long non-coding RNA, 963 nt
Organism: Ceratina calcarata
Lineage: Eukaryota; Metazoa; Arthropoda; Insecta; Hymenoptera; Apidae
Exons: 3
Source: RefSeq, a predicted model, not a curated record